UAGUAUUUGGAGGCAUGAUGUGCGGGCACCGGUCGGCCUAUGGAACCACCGUUGUGUGCUCCGUGCAUUACGUCGAAGGCAAAUACGCCCCCUAAUCGGUGUCGUCCUGUGGGCACCGGUCGGGCUUGAUAAUCUCAAGCCCGUCGACGACGGUUCGCCUAACGUGAAAGCGUUAGGUGAAAGCGUCGGCAGUAAGUUGGUUGCGUCUGCUGGCUCCAACUCGGGUAGUAGAUUAUCUCUUGAUAAUCUCAAGCCCGCGAUGAUGGUUUUCAGUGAGUUAUCCUGGAUCGUCGUCAACCGGGCUUGAUAAUCUCAAGUUCGUGAUGGGUACCGUCGCUUGUGGGUUCCGUUGCUUCCUGAUCUUGCUUAUAUAUGUGCGUUGCCGGGCUUGUUUCUCAUGCCUCGUUAGUUAUUUGAAUCCAUCGCUUUGCAAACGUGACGACUUGUUGCUUGCGUCUGCUGGUUUGACUCGUUUGUAUGCGGUUGUUAAGGUGAAGGGACUCGUUUCUUUAGGUGACUUGAUCCGACGAUGAUGUUACCGUGCGUACGAUUGAGCUUUUGCUUUUGAUCUAUGGCAUAGCUACGGAUUCGUUAUGGUCUUUGUUGCGCGAGCAACAUGAGCGACCGGUUCCUAAUACGUGGAUAUAUAAGCAAGCGAUGAGGCAAUGGUUCUUACCUGUGACGGUCUCUAUGGUUGGUUCCUGAUGACGGUUUAUAUUCCUGGUUCUCCCAUCGUUCGGGGCAUUCUGGGGCUGUUUUGGCUAUUAGUUGCUUGCUUGGUCUUGAGCCGAUCAGGUGGCUUCUAGUCUGGUGGCUUCGGGGAUGUUAACCGUAAAGGUGGAUGAGUGGUGUUUGGUUUGUUACGUGUGGUUGGCUGCGGCGUUUGCAACAACUUCCAUGCUUUCAGACCUUUUCAGUUGUGCGGCAAGGCUUGUAUCGCCUUGAGCGUAUUGUGGGUUUUCUGUGUUGCAUACCUAAUCAAUGGUAUCGGUUGGAAAUGAUCAAAGUUUCAUUUCGUCUUCCGUCGCAUUCGCGGCGUGAGGUGAACCUUGAUGCGGUCUCUUUGGUCCACCUUGUCGAAGCGCAUGCUUCAACGUUGUGGCACAUUGAGCAUUGCUUGGUCUCUUGUAUACGGAACAUAUAGUGGGCAUGGAUCUAACGAUUCUUGUUUGCCCUCAUAUUAGCGUAUCGCUUCUCUAACACGACUUGCGCCACGUCCUAGCUCGUACGGACGUGGUGCUAGUCAUAA
RNAcentral lists this unclassified non-coding RNA (1249 nucleotides) under Brachanthemum baranovii. RNAcentral's name for it is "partial miscellaneous RNA". The record is from RNAcentral. Lineage: Eukaryota; Viridiplantae; Streptophyta; Magnoliopsida; Asterales; Asteraceae.